GCCGAGGUAGCUCAGUCGGUAGAGCACAGCCCUGAAAAGGCUGGUGUCGACAGUUCAAUUCUGUCCCUCGGCACCA
This 76-nucleotide transfer RNA is filed under the name Nitrospira sp. Its description in RNAcentral is "tRNA-Phe". It matches the Rfam family "tRNA". From Rfam's summary of the family: Transfer RNA (tRNA) molecules are approximately 80 nucleotides in length. Their secondary structure includes four short double-helical elements and three loops (D, anti-codon, and T loops). Further hydrogen bonds mediate the characteristic L-shaped molecular structure. tRNAs have two regions of fundamental functional importance: the anti-codon, which is responsible for specific mRNA codon recognition, and the 3' end, to which the tRNAs corresponding amino acid is attached (by aminoacyl-tRNA synthetases). tRNAs cope with the degeneracy of the genetic code in two manners: having more than one tRNA (with a specific anti-codon) for a particular amino acid; and 'wobble' base-pairing, i.e. permitting non-standard base-pairing at the 3rd anti-codon position. Lineage: Bacteria; Pseudomonadati; Nitrospirota; Nitrospiria; Nitrospirales; Nitrospiraceae. RNAcentral also lists the same sequence under 2 other names. The record is from RNAcentral.